UACAUGGGGUGCAAACGUUGCUCGGAAUUAUUGGGCGUAAAGCGCACGUAGGUGGUCUGUUAUGUCAGAUGUGAAAGCCCUCGGCUUAACUGAGGAAGUGCACCUGAAACUGGCAGGCUUGAGUACGAAAGAGGAUCGCGGAAUUCCCGGUGUAGAGGUGAAAUUCGUAGAUAUUCGCAAGAACACCAGUGGCGAAGGCGGCCAACUGGUCCGGUUCUGACGCUGAGGCGCGAAAGCGUGGGGAGCAAACAGG
RNAcentral lists this ribosomal RNA (253 nucleotides) under uncultured bacterium. RNAcentral's name for it is "partial 16S ribosomal RNA". It matches the Rfam family "Bacterial small subunit ribosomal RNA", at positions 524 to 776 of the family's 1533-position model. The record is from RNAcentral.